GUGAAAUUGUUGAAAGGGAAACGAUUGAAGUCAGUCGUGCCGUUGAGAAAUCAACUUAGCUAGUUUCAGUUUUUGAAUUGGAGAUAGGGUCAAACCAUCACGGUUUUAAAAUUGGGGCUUGUUGGGUGUACUUUCUUUUUUGGCAGGUCAGCGUCGAUUUUGGGGGUUGUAAAAUGACUGGGGGAAUGUAGCUCCCUUCGGGGAGUGUUAUAGACCCUGGGGGAUGCAGCCUACGGGAUCGAGGAUUGCAGCAAAUGCUUCAGCUUGUCGUCUAUCCGUUAAACGUCACCCUGCUUGUGACAAUAUUCUUGACACUUUGUGGGACUUGGUUAGAACGUUCUAAAAUUUGCUAAGGAUGCUGACGUAAUGGCUUUAAACGAC
Molecule: ribosomal RNA, 381 nt
Filed under: uncultured Diversispora
Lineage: Eukaryota; Fungi; Glomeromycota; Glomeromycetes; Diversisporales; Diversisporaceae
Description: partial 28S ribosomal RNA
Source: RNAcentral